AGGACGAACGCUGGCGGCGUGCUUAACACAUGCAAGUCGAGCGGAAAGGCCCUUCGGGGUACUCGAGCGGCGAACGGGUGAGUAACACGUGAGCAACCUGCCCUUAGCUCUGGGAUAGCUCCGGGAAACCGGAAUUAAUACCGGAUACGACCUAGGCCGACAUCGGCCAUGGUGGAAAGUUUUUCGGCUAGGGAUGGACUCGCGGCCUAUCAGCUAGUUGGUGGGGUAAAGGCCUACCAAGGCGACGACGGGUAGCCGGCCUGAGAGGGCGACCGGCCACGACUGGGACUGAGACACGGCCCAGACUCCUACGGGAGGCAGCAGUGGGAAUCUUGCGCAAUGGGCGAAAGCCUGACGCAGCGACGCCGCGUGGGGGAUGAAGGCCUUCGGGUUGUAAACCCCUUUCAGCAGGGACGAAGCGAAAGUGACGGUACCUGCAGAAGAAGCGCCGGCUAACUACGUGCCAGCAGCCGC
RNAcentral lists this ribosomal RNA (474 nucleotides) under uncultured bacterium. Its description in RNAcentral is "SSU rRNA". It matches the Rfam family "Bacterial small subunit ribosomal RNA", at positions 26 to 518 of the family's 1533-position model. The record is from RNAcentral.